AUGGCUCGCAUGGCGGCGUGGGUGCUAGCGAUCCUGCUCGCCUCUUGUGCCUUUGCGUUGGCGACCUUCGACAAGGAGUUCGACGUCACCUGGGGUGACGGGCGCGGCAAGAUCCUCAACAACGGCCAGCUCCUCACGCUGGGGCUCGAUAAGAUCUCCGGCUCCGGGUUCCAGUCCAAGCACGAGUACCUCUUCGGCAAGAUCGACAUGCAGCUCAAGCUCGUCCCCGGCAACUCCGCCGGCACCGUCACCGCAUACUACGUAAUUAAGCCGACAUCAUCUGCUUCUCGAUUUGCUUGGUUCAUGUGCGUGCCUAACAUAACUCGAUUGGUUUGGCGUAUGAAUGUGCAGCUGUCGUCGCAGGGUCCGACGCACGACGAGAUCGACUUCGAGUUCCUGGGCAACGUCACCGGCGAGCCCUACACGCUGCACACCAACGUGUUCACGCAGGGGCAGGGCCAGCGGGAGCAGCAGUUCCGCCUCUGGUUCGAUCCCACCAACGACUUCCACACCUACUCCAUCCUCUGGAACCCAAAGCACAUCAUAUUCAUGGUGGACGACAUGCCGAUCAGGGACUACAAGAACCUGGAGGGAAAGGGGAUCGCCUUCCCCAAGAACCAGCCGAUGCGGCUCUACUCCAGCCUCUGGAACGCCGACGACUGGGCCACGCAGGGCGGCCGCGUCAAGACGGACUGGUCCCACGCCCCGUUCUCCGCCUCGUACCGCGGCUUCAAGGCCGACGCGUGCGUGGUGACCGCGGGAGGCCGGCCGCGCUGCGGCGCCAGCGUCGGCACGGAGGUCGCCCCCGGCACCGGCGCGGCGGGCGAGUGGUACAACCAGGAGCUGGACCUGACGCGGCAGCAGCGGAUGCGGUGGGUGCAGAGGAACUACAUGAUCUACAACUACUGCACGGACCCCAAGCGCGUCGCCAAGGGCGUCCCCGCCGAGUGCUCCAUGUAG
Molecule: ribosomal RNA, 960 nt
Filed under: Triticum aestivum (bread wheat)
Lineage: Eukaryota; Viridiplantae; Streptophyta; Magnoliopsida; Poales; Poaceae
Description: partial small subunit ribosomal RNA
Source: RNAcentral